UACGUAGGGUGCAAGCGUUGUCCGGAAUUAUUGGGCGUAAAGAGCUCGUAGGCGGUCUGUCGCGUCGGCUGUGAAAACCCGGGGCUCAACUCCGGGCCUGCAGUCGAUACGGGCUGGCUUGAGUGCGGUAGGGGAGACUGGAAUUCCUGGUGUAGCGGUGAAAUGCGCAGAUAUCAGGAGGAACACCGGUGGCGAAGGCGGUUCUCUGGGACGGUACUGACGCUGAGACGCGAAAGCGUGGGGAGCGAACAGG
This 253-nucleotide ribosomal RNA is filed under the name uncultured bacterium. RNAcentral describes it as "partial 16S ribosomal RNA". It matches the Rfam family "Bacterial small subunit ribosomal RNA", at positions 524 to 776 of the family's 1533-position model. The record is from RNAcentral.